RNAcentral lists this long non-coding RNA (2773 nucleotides) under Citrus maxima (pomelo). Its description in RNAcentral is "long non-coding RNA (CMAX_LNC000416)". Lineage: Eukaryota; Viridiplantae; Streptophyta; Magnoliopsida; Sapindales; Rutaceae. The record is from RNAcentral.
UUAUUACUCUUUGAAAUUCACAAACAUUAAGCUACAUUUUGAAUUAAUAGUUUAUUUUAUCCGUAUACGAAAAGCAACACACUUUAGCAACUUAUUUCUUUACACUUCAAAGAAUUAGGAAAAAGACCCGAUACGUCAUGGAAAUGUUGGUCACAAUAUCCAACAUUUGCCGCCAUUCCGCUCUUUAAUUUUAACUCUUUUUUAUUCUAAUCUUUAAUAUUUCUUUUUCAGGCUUCCUGUGGGAGCAAAAUUUUGGUGCACGGCGAAUCAUUUUCAGGCAAUAAUAAAUCUCUUUAGUUUGGAAUCUUGUUUCAUUCAUGGCUUGGAACUACGAUAGCAAGAAAAUUUAAUGUCGGCAUUUCACAGGGAAUUGAUAGUAGUUUGUGAUCAAUCAAAUUGCAAGAAAAGGACCGAUAUAAUGCUGCCAAUUUUCAAUCAAUCGCAGUGACUAUAAGACAAAGAAAGCACAGCUAGCAUUAUCAAUAAUUCAGAUAAAUCUAAACCAAUCAGUGGAAAAGCUGAAUAGACAGAUAAUGAACCUAAUCUCUUAAAUAUGAGACAGAAUAGCUAUGUCUUCGUGGCUCCUUUUCACGUGGAAAGCUAGACCCUAAUUCAAACAUAAAAAUCACCAUCAAUAAUAUAUCUUCCUUGGCAUCUUGCUCCAUUCGACCAUUAAAUUUAGAUAAUAAGUUAGCUAGUGACAAUGCCAAAAAAGGCUUAUCACCAUCAACAAGAGUGACGGCAAUACGAAGAAAUGCUAGGUGUAAAUAAGUGGAUUAAUGUCUACAUCUCACUUAUAAUAAAAAAUAAAUUUAAUUUUUCCGGUCAAUAAUUUUUGUUACUUUGAGUUUCAGACUUUCAGUCCACGAAAUCUGAAAAAUGAAACCCCCAAAUAACUAAUUCGGAAGCUCAAGAUUGAAAUCAAUAACUUAAAAAUAAUAAUUAUAUGCAUGCUUAUACCACGUAAUACAUAAUGUUUCUAAUUCAUUUAUUGAUAUUUUAAAUAAUCUCUUGGGUAAAUUUUCGAUUAUUCCGAAUUUAUUAUCUUUAAAUUAUUCCAUUACUAUUAAAAACUUUAAGUUAUUUUAAUUUUUAUUUAAAAAAUGAGAGGAGAGAGCUAAUUUAUAUUUGUUAAAUUAUUUUAACUAUUAACAAUAUUUUAAUAUGAUUAUUCUACUAAACAAAUUAAACUAUUUAUAUUACAUUUGUAUUUAUUAAAAUUUUUGAUGUUCAAUUGUUUUUUUGAACUCUUUAGAUAAGAAACCCUCCCUAAAUUCUCUCUCUCCGUCACCAAUCAAUCUCCCAAAGUCUGUUAUUGAUCGGCUUUAUAAAGUUAAGGUUUGUAAUGCAAAACUGAAAAUCGUUUUUUCGUCCAUUCGUUGCCCUCUCUUGCUCUUUCUAAGCGUUUUAACCAGCCAUCAACUUGGUCAAAUUAGUUGACUCAAGUGCCCACGCGAGGACUUAAAUGAUGAAACUAAUGAAUUGGGCACUUGAAAACUCUGCGUUUUGCUUUGGCUUUGAUUAAUGGCCAACAUGUUCCUGGCCUCAAUCUCAUCAACACUCCUAGUUCUCAAGAUUAUAACAAAUAUAAAGAUUAUCUCUUGUGCACUCACAUCGCUUGGAAGUCAAUCUUUUUUUCUGAUUUUUAUCAUGCGGAAAGGAAUUAACUCUCCACGUGUGUGUGAAUCAUAUCAAGUACCACUCAAAAGCCCAUAAAUCUAUCUCAUACUAAAAAUUAUAAAAUUUAUUUAACACAAAAAUUAUUUCAAUUUUUCAUAAUAAAUAUAAAUAUACUAUUAAAAUAAAUAUAAUAAUUUACAUUUUAAAAAUUAUUUCGUAUAUUAAAAAUAUUCUAAUAUCAUUAGUCUACUAAAUAAAUUAAAUUAUUUAAAUGAUAUUUAUACUUAUAAGAAAUAAAAAUAAUUACUAUCUUUUGAGGUUGUUACAAUCAACAGAAAAUUUUAGUAUUUUAUAUUAAAAAUUUAUAGGUCUACAUAAUUAUUUUUCUAAAUUUUUAGAGUGUAAAUGUCUUUUUUUUUUAUCAUGAAUUUAUCUGAAACCCUUUUUUAUUUUUUAUUUUAUCUAAUCCCAUUUAGUUUUUAGUCUUUAUCUUCUUUUUUUUUUCCUCCCUCCCUAAUAGUAGAAGCAAACUUCCGUGGUGGCAUAGCAACUGAAAGAUCAGAGUGACCAUCUUACUUCCAUCAUACCGAUGAAAGUAAGACAAAAAGUCAGUGGAUUGAUAACCCCGAAAAUGGCUCAUCAUCACCGUCAAUAAAUUUGUUAUUACAUCAUAUGGCGUUAUAAUUAACUGAACAGAAAUAUUAAUGGUGAAUUCACGUGAAAUCUGUAUUUAGAUAUCUGCACUCUGAAAAGUUCUAUACACACACUUUCUCUACCAAGGAUAUUGUCAUUUUGUUAAAGUGAGGAUGAUUAUUAAAAUAUAAAAAAAAUACAAAUAUCAAUAGAUUGAAAAUUGUAGUUUUUGUUUGUUAAUGUAUUGAAAUUUGUAUUUUUUAUUAGUUGGUAGCAUCUUUAUUUUAUCAAAGUGAGGAUAUUCUUAAUAGAGAAUGAAUAUAUAUGUGUGUGUGUGUGAAGUUUGAAACGGCUUAUAGAAUGAGACUUACCCUUCCAAACAUCUCACAUGGCUUUAAUUGGGCUUUUGGAUAUCUUCUUGGCAAUCAUUUGCUUCUUGAUUCUUCGAUAUUGUUUCAGCAAUAACAAUGGAAUCCCAAAGAACUUCCCAGUCGGAGGUAUGCUGCCACACCUUCUUCUU